This 433-nucleotide ribosomal RNA is filed under the name Terrahaemophilus aromaticivorans. RNAcentral describes it as "bacterial SSU rRNA". It matches the Rfam family "Bacterial small subunit ribosomal RNA", at positions 30 to 454 of the family's 1533-position model. Lineage: Bacteria; Pseudomonadati; Pseudomonadota; Gammaproteobacteria; Pasteurellales; Pasteurellaceae. The record is from RNAcentral.
AUUGAACGCUGGCGGCAGGCUUAACACAUGCAAGUCGAACGGUAACAUAAAGAAGCUUGCUUCUUUGAUGACGAGUGGCGGACGGGUGAGUAAUGCUUGGGAAUCUAGCUUAUGGAGGGGGAUAACUACGGGAAACUGUAGCUAAUACCGCGUAGAAUCGAGAGAUGAAAGUGUGGGACCUUCGGGCCACAUGCCAUAGGAUGAGCCCAAGCGGGAUUAGGUAGUUGGUGAGGUAAAGGCUCACCAAGCCGACGAUCUCUAGCUGGUCUGAGAGGAUGACCAGCCACACUGGGACUGAGACACGGCCCAGACUCCUACGGGAGGCAGCAGUGGGGAAUAUUGCGCAAUGGGGGCAAACCCCUGACGCAGCCAUGCCGCGUGAAUGAAGAAGGCCUUUCGGGUUGUAAAGUUUCUUUUCGGUAAGCGAGGAAGG